GGCACGGGGAGGUAGUGACAAAAAAUAACGAUACGGGACUCAUCCGAGGCCCCGUAAUCGGAAUGAGAACACCCUAAAUCCUUUAACGAGGAUCUAUUGGAGGGCAAGUCUGGUGCCAGCAGCCGCGGUAAUUCCAGCUCCAAUAGCGUAUAUUAAAGUUGUUGCGGUUAAAAAGCUCGUAGUUGGUUCUGCGUGCCACGCUGUCGGUUCACCGCCUGCCGGUGCAACUGGCAUGCCGUGGCAUGUCCUGUCGGUGGCGGAUAGGCUUCGCGGGGUGCCCCAUGCGGCUUUACGUCAUGUGGGUCGUCGCUGCGCGUUGUCCUUGUACGCCGGCUCAAUCCUACCGCGGUGCUCUUUACCGAGUGUCGAGGUAGGCCGACAAUGUUUACUUUGAACAAAUUAGAGUGCUUAAAGCAGGCUCUUGAAUCAGCCUGAAUAGUGGUGCAUGGAAUAAUGGAACAGGACCUUGGUUCUAUUUUGUUGGUUUUCGGAAUCCAAGGUAAUGAUCAAUAAGGACAGGCGGGGGCAUUCGUAUUGCGACGUUAGAGGUGAAAUUCUUGGAUCGUCGCAAGACGCACUAGAGCGAAAGCAUUUGCCAAGUAUGUCUUAAUUGAUCAAGAACGAAAGUUAGAGGUUCGAAGGCGAUCAGAUACCGCCCUAGUUCUAACCAUAAACGAUGCCAGCCAGCGAUCCGCCGAUGUUCCUCCGAUGACUCGGCGGGGAGCUUCCCCCGGGAAACCAAAGCUUUUGGGUUCCGGGGGAAGUAUGGUUGCAAAGCUGAAACUUAAAGGAAUUGACGGAAGGGCACCACCAGGAGUGGAGCCUGCGGCUUAAUUUGACUCAACACG
RNAcentral lists this ribosomal RNA (848 nucleotides) under Largus sp. L53 Col. RNAcentral describes it as "SSU rRNA". It matches the Rfam family "Eukaryotic small subunit ribosomal RNA", at positions 453 to 1207 of the family's 1831-position model. Lineage: Eukaryota; Metazoa; Arthropoda; Insecta; Hemiptera; Largidae. The record is from RNAcentral.